CAGGGGAAGCUCGGAUUCUGGUCUCUUUAUUGUUUACAAUCUCAGUAGUGCCACAGAGCAGCACUGACUAGCUGUGGCUGUGAAUGUGCAUCCCAUGUAAUCUCAGGGUAACUCCUGGUCCUUUAGCAUGUUCUGCUUUGUCUCACCAGUUCUCAGCGGGGUGCUUGAGUUCUGAGAAAAAGCAAUAAACGAAGACACCAAUUCUCAAGUGAAUAAUCCCUUCAAUAAAGCCUGUUAAACAUGGAGCUGACAGCAAAUGGCAAAAACUAAAUUUACUUUCUUCUCCAAACAACAAAAAUACCCUCAUUAGAAACAAGACUGAUGUUCUGAUACAAAUCUUUAUAUUGAAUAUGUUGCAUUUUGAAGAGAAGCAAAGAGAGAGAUGGGGGUUUGCCUGGGAUGUGUUUUGUAAUGGUUUACCAAAAAUCUCUUGGGGUUACAUUUAAAGCGUGAAUUCAUUUCCUGGUGAUUCUGGGUUUUACUGAAACUUCUUUACCCAGAAAAUCAAUUGUGUAGUUCCUUAGAUGUGAUCAAACUCAGGGAUGUUAAUUUACUAUAAACUGAGAGACUGGAAUGUAAUAGAGAAUACUAAUUUGUUCAUUUACAAUAAGAAUUAUGAAUUUAUUCUGACAAAAAUGCAUACAUUGCCAUGAUCAAGAUAGGCUUUCUUUAGAAUAACAUAAAAACUAAACCAGAAAUUUACUUAUUAUCCAAGGAAUCAACACUACAAAUUUGGAUGAUUCUUAAAGCUUCUCUCAACUUAACACCUUUCUCCCCCAAAAGACAGAACCUUGCUAGACAAUAUUACUCUUGAUGUUUGACAACAUAUUCUUCUAUCUAAUGCUGUGUACAUUGACAAUUAUUUCUGUUCAUUGUUUUGCAGGUCCCUGUGAUGAAAAAGGAACAUUUCUUCAAAUAUGGUUAUAAAGCUUAUAUGCCCAUAGUCCAGUCUACACUAGUUGUUACUAAAUGUGACUUUACAUAUUUUUAAUUUCAUCCACUAAGUGUUGAAUUAUUUUUUUUUCACUCACAAAGGCUACCUGAUUUUAUUUCCAACUCUUUCAAAAAGAAGGGCUAAGGAAGGCUUCUUACAGUACCUGCACCUGUCACAGACAAUCUUUAGCCAUAUGAAAAUCUUUUAGUUCCUAUAAUCGGAUUUACUUUGGAAGACACCUUGUCUCAGCUGCUGUCGACAUUGCCAUCUGACUGAUCUUUCUCCAUGUAAGCUGCAAGCUUGCCAGUGAGAGGACUUUUAGACCAAAGCAGUAGCCUGAAUUGCUGAAAAGAUAUCAGGCUUAACAAGAAAGCAAGAUGGGGCUUAGUUCUCUGUGAGGAAAUUCUGCAAGAUAUUAAUAGUUGACCCUUACUAAGAAGAUUCCAGAGUCAGAAUCUUGGGAAGCCUGAUUAAAACAAAGCUACAUAAUUCUGUGUGCAGGCAUGUGUCUGAAAUGCCUUAAGAGAAGACAAAGUAUUAUCACAUACUAUGUCAGCAAUUUGACCAUGGAAUUCUUUUCUUGUACAAUACCCACUAAUGGCCAAUGGAACGGAAAUUUGGGACACACAGCCAAAAUUAAAUACUCACAUUCAUAUAUAAAUACAAAAAUCAAUGACAGUAAUAUAUAAAAUGCUUUCGAUCUUCAUUAUUACUGUUCUCUAAUUCAGAAAAUUAUAGAGUUGAUUGGAGGUGCAUAUCUUAGUAGGCAAAUAAUAACAACAAUAAUCAUAAUUAUAAUAAGUGAUAGUAAUAGCAGAGAGAAGCCAUAAUCUCUAUGGCAGUGUUUCUUCACGUGUGACCUCUAGAGCACCAAUAUCACAAACAAGGUGCAAAUUCCUAAGUCCCUGUGAAGACUUACUAUAUCAGAAUCUUCUGAAGAUGGACCACAGAAAUCUAGAUUUUAAAUAGACACAGCAUGAAAUCUUGAUGUACGCUUGAGCUUGAGAAUUAUUGAAUUGGGAUCUCUAUUUAAGUUAGAAAAAGACAUAACAUCUAGGCUCAAAACAUUUUAGGAGAUUUGAUAGACCCCUGGCAUCCACCAUGCCAUGGGAAUCAGACAAUGUCUUAGUCAAAAAGAGAGGGGGGAAAAAAACAACUUUUGUUAAGAUUUUGUAAGCUCCAACUUAUAUCUUAUAUUGUGUCUUAUGUCUAUUUCUCCAAUAUCCCUCCAUUUUUUUCAUUCACAUUGUAUCUGAAGAGACUAGGGAAGCCUCUUCGUCAUAUAAUGGCACACAUGAAAAUCUUAAACUAAGUAGACUAUUUAUACCAAAUAGAGAAAAAGUAUAUAGUCAUAUUUCUUUCUUAUUUUACCAUUUUAUUUGCUAUUUCUGUAAUUCAUGGGAGAACUAUAGGGACCCCAAAAUUAUAUCAGAACUGAACAGACUUUCAAAUUUGAUUACUUGAGAAUAAAAAAGGAAUUAAAUGAAAUUUCUGGCCAUUCAGGGACAACGUAAAAGAAAAUGAAACAUUUUUGGCAAUUUAAACAUGUAUUUCAGCAUUUCCUUUAAUCAAGCUGAAGUAUUACACCUCCUAUUAUUAAUAUUAAAGCUCUGUAAGCUCA
Long non-coding RNA from Felis catus (domestic cat), 2555 nucleotides. RefSeq lists it as uncharacterized. Lineage: Eukaryota; Metazoa; Chordata; Mammalia; Carnivora; Felidae. The transcript has 3 exons. The record is from RefSeq and is a predicted model, not a curated record.